Quercus robur (English oak) is the source of this 1555-nucleotide long non-coding RNA. RefSeq lists it as uncharacterized. The transcript is spliced from 2 exons. Lineage: Eukaryota; Viridiplantae; Streptophyta; Magnoliopsida; Fagales; Fagaceae. The record is from RefSeq and is a predicted model, not a curated record.
UUGGGUGGGUUUGGGUAGACAAAUAGGGGUUAGGUUGAAUUUGACGCCCCUAGUUAAAAGUGAUCAAAGUUUAAUACACAUUCAUUUAAAUCAAACCUUAAUCCAUUUUAUUAUGUAAAUGCCAAACUCCAUAUGUGACAAACACAUCAAAAUGUGGGUGGAAUGGCCUUUUAAUGACGUCCUCCUGUUGGAGUAUAUAAUCAUGAAGAUAUCGACUAUAAGGGAGUCUUUUCUGGUGGAGGUGGGGCUGCUUGAAAUUCUUGCCUCUUUUGUUGACUCUAAUGAAAAGUGAAAACUAUAUAUGUUGGCUUGCAAGUCUUGGAAUACCACUAAAAAGAAAUCCAUGCCGGAUGGUUCAUGCAAUCGAAGGAGGUAAGCUCAUCUCAUUCCAACCGAUUUGUCAUUGUUUUCAGAUUAAUUAGAGAAGCAUUUUUGGUCACAUCCUAUGUUACUAAAAUAUUUCUUCAUCAAUUCUACUAUUUCUAGAAUCUUUUACUAUUGCCCACAAUGGCAAGGAUCUUUUCCAUAUUCCAUAUCCGCCUAAAAAAAAUUUAGUUUACAUCAUUAGAUGAGAAAACUACCUCUCUGAGCUUUGGAAAUUGGUCCUCUUCAGAAUUUUGCAUCUUUCUUCCUUGCUCCAGAGAGCUCAAAAGGCUAAUUACAUCACUAAUCUUGUUAUCCUUGCCAUCCUCACUAGUAAGGGCUGUCCAACUGUCCUUAGUAUCAGAAAUUCUAAUUGUCCUAUGUUAAGAGAGUGGUGCCAGAGGCAAACGGUGAGAAAACUGUCCCAAGAUGGCUCAGGUGCCAGUUAUUACAAGCAUAUAUAGGACAAAUGGGGAUAAUCAUAGUAGACAACAAACAGCAAGUGCAAUCUGAUCCUGGAGCCUCCAAGCUCAACCUUCUCUGCUCAUGACCAUUGGCUGAUCACUCUCAAUAUGGCCCUCGUUUUAGAUGAAAUCUGGUGCUUGAGGAACCAUAUCAUUGCCAAAAGGCUCAGAUUGAUAUUCCUAAAUCAGUCCAUUCGGUGCAAGUUAAAUUCUUAAGAGUGCUCCAAGCUGCUAGGUGGUAACCUUCCCAAUCCCUCUAUCCUAAGUGCACCAACUUGGUCCCCUCUAACUUUAGGCUCGGUAAAGAUCAAUGUUGAUGCGGCUUAGUAGUAUCUACUAUCUAGUACUAACUCAGCUCUUGGGGUCAUUGCCAGGAACCACAUCGGCCAUGUAAUCAGAGCUUGGGGAAGAUGCCGCCCCUUAUGUUCUCCCGUCCAAGCUGAAGUAGCAGCCCUUCAAUGGGCAGUUGAGCUGGCAAGUCGUGAGCAUUGGCAGCAAUUGAUUUUUGAAGGAGAAGCUAAGGCUUGUUUUGAUGUGUUAUCAUCAUCCACUCCCCUAGAUUGGUCUAUUAGUACCAUUAUCAGCAAUAUUCAUUGUCUUUCUGUAGGUUUUACUUCUGUUAAGUUUUGUUAGGUUAUGAGACAACGCAAUUCUGCAGCUCAUGUGGUUGCUAGAUUUGCUUUAAAUUCUGGCCAGUCCUUUUUUUCAAUAAUGGUAAUCUUCAUCGA